Molecule: non-coding RNA, 511 nt
Organism: Lolium perenne
Lineage: Eukaryota; Viridiplantae; Streptophyta; Magnoliopsida; Poales; Poaceae
Source: RefSeq, a predicted model, not a curated record
CCUCCUCCUUUGCUUCUCAUUUUUGACUCUCCACUCCUUCCACCACUCACUCACACUCCUCUCCUACCUCUCCCCCACGAAAUCCUGCUCCACCUAGCUACCAUGGCCGGCCAUGGCCAUGGAAAGGCACCUAGAUGAAGCUCCCCUCCUCCAUCAAGCUCAUCCUCACCAUGAGAGCAUCCCUCUCACUCUCUUCUCCCCUAACCCUAGAUGAAUCCAGCCCUAUUUCUCCUUUCUCCUCUCACAAGAUUGGAUCUUGAUGCAGGUGCAUGUUGGUCCAAGCAUGGAGAAGGUUGAGCAAUCCUCAGAUCUGAAGCUCUUGACCCAAGGGAUAUUUGGUUUAUACCAUGGUGAUAACCGAGAGAGGCAAUUGCUAAGUUGUGAUGCACUCAUACCUUUACUAGAUGCGAACAAUUCCGGAGAAGAAGAAGAAGUGGAAUCGGAUGAGAAGAUUAUUUAUAUUGUUGGAAUUCUUAUAUUGAUGGAGUUGAACAAGUACAGGGACAAAUAA